This 358-nucleotide ribosomal RNA is filed under the name uncultured bacterium. Its description in RNAcentral is "partial 16S ribosomal RNA". It matches the Rfam family "Bacterial small subunit ribosomal RNA", at positions 355 to 704 of the family's 1533-position model. The record is from RNAcentral.
UGGGGAAUUUUGGACAAUGGGCGCAAGCCUGAUCCAGCCAUGCCGCGUGCGGGAAGAAGGCCUUCGGGUUGUAAACCGCUUUUGUCAGGGAAGAAAUCUUCUGAGUUAAUACCUCGGGAGGAUGACGGUACCUGAAGAAUAAGCACCGGCUAACUACGUGCCAGCAGCCGCGGUAAUACGUAGGGUGCAAGCGUUAAUCGGAAUUACUGGGCGUAAAGCGUGCGCAGGCGGUUUUGUAAGACAGAGGUGAAAUCCCCGGGCUCAACCUGGGAACUGCCUUUGUGACUGCAAGGCUUGAGUGCGGCAGAGGGGGGAUGGAAUUCCGCGUGUAGCAGUGAAAUGCGUAGAUAUGCGGAGG